RNAcentral lists this ribosomal RNA (465 nucleotides) under uncultured bacterium. RNAcentral's name for it is "bacterial SSU rRNA". It matches the Rfam family "Bacterial small subunit ribosomal RNA", at positions 40 to 507 of the family's 1533-position model. The record is from RNAcentral.
CGGCGUGCCUAACACAUGCAAGUCAACUUGAGGAAGGAGCAAUCUGACCUGAUGUGGCGCAAGGGUGCGUAACGCGUAAGUAACUUGCCCAAGGUAAGGAAUAACGUCGAGAAAUCGGCGCUAAUACCUCAUAAUGCAGCGGAUCCGCAUGGAUAUGUUGUUAAAGGUUUACCGCCUUGGGAUAGGCUUGCGUCUGAUUAGCUAGUUGGUGUGGUAAUGGCACACCAAGGCUACGAUCAGUAACUGGUCUGAGAGGAUGAUCAGUCACACUGGAACUGAGACACGGUCCAGACUCCUACGGGAGGCAGCAGUGAGGAAUAUUGGGCAAUGCACGAAAGUGUGACCCAGCAACGCCGCGUGGAGGAUGAAGGUAUUCUAUAUCGUAAACUCCUGUGAGAGCAGACGAAAGACAGAUUAUUAAUUUGGAUGACUGUAUGCUCAGAGGAAGCCCCGGCUAACUACGUG